Molecule: ribosomal RNA, 492 nt
Filed under: uncultured bacterium
Lineage: Bacteria
Description: partial 16S ribosomal RNA
Rfam family: Bacterial small subunit ribosomal RNA
Source: RNAcentral
AAUGAACGCUGGCGGUAGGCCUAACACAUGCAAGUCGAACGGCAGCACAGUAAGAGCUUGCUCUUACGGGUGGCGAGUGGCGGACGGGUGAGGAAUACAUCGGAAUCUACUUUUUCGUGGGGGAUAACGUAGGGAGACUUACGCUAAUACCGCAUACGACCUACGGGUGAAAGCAGGGGAUCUUCGGACCUUGCGCGAUUGAAUGAGCCGAUGUCGGAUUGGCUAGUUGGCGGGGUAAAGGCCCACCAAGGCGACGAUCCGUAGCUGGUCUGUGAGGAGGAUCAGCCACACUGGAACUUAGACACGGUCCAUACUCCUACGGGAGGCAGCAGUGGGGAAUAUUGGACAAUGGGCGCAAGCCUGAUCCAGCCAUACCGCGUGGGUGAAGAAGGCCUUCGGGUUGUAAAGCCCUUUUGUUGGGAAAGAAAAGCAGCAGGUUAAGACCCCGCUGUUCUGACGGUACCCAAAGAAUAAGCACCGGCUAACUUCGUG